Molecule: long non-coding RNA, 253 nt
Organism: Leptinotarsa decemlineata (Colorado potato beetle)
Lineage: Eukaryota; Metazoa; Arthropoda; Insecta; Coleoptera; Chrysomelidae
Source: RefSeq, a predicted model, not a curated record
GGCGUUGAUUCCAAUUGAACACAAAAUGAAUUUUAAACGAGUCUUAAAACCGAAUGGUAGAAAUUUAAACACAUUUUUAGAAGCCAAAGUUAUUCUAAUAGCUUGUCUAGUCAAGGAAUUUCAUUUGGAUAUCUAUUAAAUAAUCAUUUUGAUUUGCCGAGUGACGCUUGGUUGAGAUUACCCAUUGUCUCCCUGAUGAUCAAUAGUCUGUUGAGAAAUUCAAUCAAUCAUUAGAUCCUUUUAUAAAUCGCAU